UAUGUAGGCGGUGUGGAAAGUCAGAUGUGAAAUCUCCAGGCUCAACCUAGAAACUGCAUCCGAUACUACCACACUAGAGUAAUGGAGGGGUGACUGGAAUUCUCGGCGUAGCAGUGAAAUGCGUAGAUAUCGAGAGGAACACUCGUGGCGAAGGCGAGUCACUGGACAUUUACUGACGCUGAGAUACGAAGGCCAGGGUAGCGAAAG
RNAcentral lists this ribosomal RNA (207 nucleotides) under uncultured bacterium. RNAcentral's name for it is "partial 16S ribosomal RNA". It matches the Rfam family "Bacterial small subunit ribosomal RNA", at positions 568 to 774 of the family's 1533-position model. The record is from RNAcentral.